This 236-nucleotide long non-coding RNA is filed under the name Salvia miltiorrhiza (redroot sage). RNAcentral's name for it is "long non-coding RNA (SMIL_LNC002419)". The record is from RNAcentral. Lineage: Eukaryota; Viridiplantae; Streptophyta; Magnoliopsida; Lamiales; Lamiaceae.
GCUGGCGUCGCUGCUGUCAAUCCGCGGCGAGGUUGCUCCGAGCGCGGAUGGCGGGCUGACGGGAAGUCAACGCCGGGCUUGUGCUGAUUGCUUCGGUUGAUAGAGAGAGAGAGUUGAGGCAGAGGUGUUGCUGUCACGGCGGCAGCAAUUCUCGCCGUUAGAAGAGAGAGGGACGACGGCGGUGGAGGCUGCCGCCUGUUGCGAGAUCGGGUCAAAAUUGGAACAGGAGAUAUCGC